Molecule: long non-coding RNA, 1001 nt
Filed under: Elaeis guineensis (African oil palm)
Lineage: Eukaryota; Viridiplantae; Streptophyta; Magnoliopsida; Arecales; Arecaceae
Description: long non-coding RNA (EGUI_LNC071596)
Source: RNAcentral
AUUUCAAAUUCAAAAUUUAAAAUUCAAAAUUUUGACCCCGGUACCCAAAAUGUGUGGAACUCAUGAUCAGAGAAUCCUAAUUCUCAAUCAUAGAGUCCCAGACACAUAAGACUCAUAAUCAGCCAUCAGAUCAGAAAGAAACCUCUAAUGUGUGUGACCCCACAGGUUCGAACCUAAGCCGGUAGCACAGGAACCAAUUCCUGUACUAAUCGAAGUGACCAUCUAGCAAUGGUACCCGACAAUCGGAUAGGUCGAAUAGUCGUAAUCGCAACAUUCAGAACCUACGUGAAUAUGGUUAUCGUAUAAUUCAUCCCUUUUGACCCCUGUGUUUAGGACGACUCAGGGUUAAACUGUCAACCCUGAUGAAAUCAUCCGAAUCGUGCUCAACUCAAUUAGUCCUGUGACUCCUCAUUAGGACUAUCCUGGUCAAGAUUUUGCUAAAUUGAAACACGACUGUACACAGCUCCUAAACUGGAGUGGUCAAUCCCAUCUUGACACAUGUACCGACAAGUCAAGUACUUGACUACACCCAGCAGCCUUCCGUCACUGAAUUAGAAAUUUAGGUAGUCCAGUGCCUAAGUGCAGUGAGUUGCUUGCAAGUCACCGUGGCGGUCUCAGGUCGGAGGAACAUUUAUACCCAUAUCCCAUUGGAGCAAAUUUUGACAGCAGAAAUAGCUCCGGAGUCGAUCACGUUCAGUGCAGAUGUACCAUUACAUCUCACCUGUAUGCCAUAUCAGUGUCUCCACACUCCUUGGUUAUGAGGACAACCAACCCAUAUGGCACACAACGACCUAUGCUCGAUAAACAUUAUCGUCCUUGGUAACAACGUAUCAUUUGGUCGCGAACAGGUUUAAGGACUAAGCGACAAAUCUUCUUUUAUCGAGUCUAAAUAGUCCUAAGGACUUCACCAUAACACAGGAGUUCAUUAGAAGAUGAAACAUUUGUGAUGAAAAAAUACCAAAAUAAUUUUUAUUUAUUUAUAAUUCAUGUACUAAUACAAA